This is a non-coding RNA of Pangasianodon gigas (Mekong giant catfish), 72 nucleotides long. The record is from the annotation of a GenBank genome assembly. NCBI's taxonomy places the organism in Eukaryota, Metazoa, Chordata, Actinopteri, Siluriformes, Pangasiidae.
UCCCUAGAAGACUAGUGGUUAGGCCACAUCUCUCUCACUGCUGAGGCCUGGGUUCAAUUCCCGGCCAGGGAA